GGAGAGAUGGCUGAGUGGUUGAUAGCUCCGGUCUUGAAAACCGGUAUAGUUCGAAAAAACUAUCGAGGGUUCGAAUCCCUCUCUCUCCU
RNAcentral lists this transfer RNA (89 nucleotides) under Astragalus sp. Ge130187. RNAcentral describes it as "tRNA-Ser". It matches the Rfam family "tRNA". Rfam says of the family: Transfer RNA (tRNA) molecules are approximately 80 nucleotides in length. Their secondary structure includes four short double-helical elements and three loops (D, anti-codon, and T loops). RNAcentral also lists the same sequence under 2 other names. Lineage: Eukaryota; Viridiplantae; Streptophyta; Magnoliopsida; Fabales; Fabaceae. The record is from RNAcentral.